Xiphophorus couchianus (Monterrey platyfish) is the source of this 156-nucleotide long non-coding RNA. RefSeq lists it as uncharacterized. The transcript is spliced from 3 exons. The record is from RefSeq and is a predicted model, not a curated record. NCBI's taxonomy places the organism in Eukaryota, Metazoa, Chordata, Actinopteri, Cyprinodontiformes, Poeciliidae.
GAGAAACAUUCACAGAGUGGAAAGAAAUCAACGUUAAGAUGGAGGAAGAGAUGGAGGAUCAGCGCAGACUGAUGGAUUUUACCCGGAUACCGAGGAUCAUCUUACACCGGAUAGACUGGCGACCUGUCCAGGGUGACCCCGCGCACCAGCACCUCC